AUGUGGUUUAAUUCGAUGAUACGCGACGGAACCUUACCUGGGCUAGAACGCAUUCGGAAUCAGGCCGAAAGGCCUGCGCCAGCGAUGGCCGCUUGCGAGGUGCUGCAUGGUUGUCGUCAGCUCGUGCCGUGAGGUGUCGGGUUAAGUCCCAUAACGAGCGCAACCCCUACUGCUAGUUGCCAGCGGGUCAUGCCGGGGACUCUAGCGGAACUGCCAGCGUAAGCUGCGAGGAAGGUGGGGAUGACGUCAAAUCAGCACGGCCCUUACGUCCAGGGCUACACACGUGUUACAAUGGCCGGUACAGAGGGCAGCCACCCCGCGAGGGGGCGCGAAUCCCGAAAGCCGGUCCCAGUUCGGAUCGGAGUCUGCAACCCGACUCCGUGAAGCUGGAUUCGCUAGUAAUCGCGCAUCAGCCACGGCGCGGUGAAUACGUUCCCGGGCCUU
This 444-nucleotide ribosomal RNA is filed under the name uncultured Rikenellaceae bacterium. RNAcentral's name for it is "bacterial SSU rRNA". It matches the Rfam family "Bacterial small subunit ribosomal RNA", at positions 939 to 1382 of the family's 1533-position model. The record is from RNAcentral. Lineage: Bacteria; Pseudomonadati; Bacteroidota; Bacteroidia; Bacteroidales; Rikenellaceae.